AUUUGUGCUAGAAACAAUCCAGGACAAGCUGUGAAAACACCAAGUAAGCACACACCAAGGCCACUUUACCCGUUUCAAAGACUGCAGAUAGACUAUAUUCAACUACCUAAGGUAGGAGUGUAUGAAUAUGUGUUGGUGUGCAUUGAUCUCUUUUCAGGUUGCCCUGAGGCCUACCCAGUGUCGAAAGCCACAACAAAGGUCACAGCAAGUAAGCUUCUGAAGGAACUGGUAUGUAGAUAUGGAGUACCUGAAGUGAUUGAAAUUGACAGAGGUAACCAUUUCACUGGGAAAAUAAUGCAAGAAAUUAUGAAAGCCCUAGGGAUCAGUCAGGCCUUCCACACCCCCUAUCACCCCCAGAGUAGUGGGAAAGUAGAAAGGGCAAAUGGCACCUUAAAGAACAAGAUUGCAAACGCCAUGCAAGACACAGGAAAGCCCUAGACUGAAUGCCUUCCCCUAG
Molecule: non-coding RNA, 457 nt
Organism: Pelobates cultripes (western spadefoot toad)
Lineage: Eukaryota; Metazoa; Chordata; Amphibia; Anura; Pelobatidae
Source: the annotation of a GenBank genome assembly